CCCUUAGAUGUUCUGGGCUGCACGCGCGCUACACUGAUGCGUUCAACGAGUGUACAUCCUUGCCCGUUAGGGUUGGGUAAUCUUUUGAACACGCAUCGUGAUGGGGAUAGAUUAUUGCAAUUAUUAAUCUUCAACGAGGAAUUCCUAGUAAUGGUGAAUCAUCAGUUCAUCGUGAUUACGUCCCUGCCCUUUGUACACACCGCCCGUCGCUCCUACCGAUGAAUCGUCCGGUGAAGUUCAUGGAGUCGCGGCUGCUCCAGCUGUUUUCGAAGUGAAAUGGACCUCAUGAUUUAGAGGAAGGAGAAGUCGUANCA
RNAcentral lists this ribosomal RNA (314 nucleotides) under uncultured eukaryote. Its description in RNAcentral is "partial 18S ribosomal RNA". It matches the Rfam family "Eukaryotic small subunit ribosomal RNA", at positions 1470 to 1796 of the family's 1831-position model. The record is from RNAcentral.